Molecule: ribosomal RNA, 263 nt
Filed under: uncultured bacterium
Lineage: Bacteria
Description: partial 16S ribosomal RNA
Rfam family: Bacterial small subunit ribosomal RNA
Source: RNAcentral
UACGUAGGGCGCAAGCGUUGUCCGGAAUUAUUGGGCGUAAAGAGCUCGUAGGCGGUUUGUCGCGUCUGCUGUGAAAGACCGGGGCUCAACUCCGGUUCUGCAGUGGGUACGGGCAGACUAGAGUGAUGUAGGGGAGACUGGAAUUCCUGGUGUAGCGGUGAAAUGCGCAGGAUAAUCAGGAGGAACACCGAGUGGCGAAGGCAGGUCUCUGGGCAUUAACUGACGCUGAGGAGCGAAGCAUGGGAGCGAACAGGAUAGAUACC